Molecule: long non-coding RNA, 622 nt
Organism: Camelus dromedarius (Arabian camel)
Lineage: Eukaryota; Metazoa; Chordata; Mammalia; Artiodactyla; Camelidae
Exons: 3
Source: RefSeq, a predicted model, not a curated record
UGCCACCCGGUCCCUGGGCAUGGAGACAGUCACGCGCCAGCUCCUCGGGGGUCUGUCUAGGUGUUUGGUACCUAGGGAAGGGCACUGUGUUAGUGUCUGUGGCUGCCGUGAGUGCCAGACGAGGUGGUGUGAACACUGGGAGCUCCUUCUCACCGUUCCGGAGGCUACAAGUCCAACAUCAAGCUAAAUAUUCAGGGAUUAGGUUAGUUGGCGUUCAAGAGGUCUAGAGCUGGGCAGCAAAAAACGAUCAAAGGAGCGUAUCUUCGUGUGUGCAGACAGGCUGAUGGAAGGGAGAGUGAUCGGCUUCACACCGUGACGUAGAGGGGCCUGGUGGACGGAGGCUGACUACCCACACGGUACUGAACUGUGACAGGAGGAGGAGGAACGGGACCUGACUGAGGAGCCUCGGCCUUCAAAGCACUGACAAGUCACCGGUGGAGGAGCUCUUCCAAAGGCAACAAAAGGAAGGAAGUUACUAAAUGCUAUAGCCAUUUAAGCAUGUGAAAAAAGAAUACUACAUUUAAAAAAAAGGUAGAUCCUGCUUUCAAGAGGCUCGCAUCUUUUUGAGGAGGAAGACAGGAAGAAACUCGUGGUUAUGGAUAAAGGACAGCAGCUUCGGUAG